UUGCUACUUUGCUGACGAGCGGCGGACGGGUGAGUAAUGCUUGGGAACAUGCCUUGAGGUGGGGGACAACAGUUGGAAACGACUGCUAAUACCGCAUAAUGUCUACGGACCAAAGGGGGCUUCGGCUCUCGCCUUUAGAUUGGCCCAAGUGGGAUUAGCUAGUUGGUGAGGUAAUGGCUCACCAAGGCGACGAUCUCUAGCUGUUCUGAGAGGAAGAUCAGCCACACUGGGACUGAGACACGGCCCAGACUCCUACGGGAGGCAGCAGUGGGGAAUAUUGCACAAUGGGGGAAACCCUGAUGCAGCCAUGCCGCGUGUGUGAAGAAGGCCUUCGGGUUGUAAAGCACUUUCAGUUGUGAGGAAAAGUUAGUAGUUAAUACCUGCUAGCCGUGACGUUAACAACAGAAGAAGCACCGGCUAACUCCGUGCCAGCAGCCGCGGUAAUACGGAGGGUGCGAGCGUUAAUCGGAAUUACUGGGCGUAAAGCGCACGCAGGCGGUUUGUUAAGCUAGAUGUGAAAGCCCCGGGCUCAACCUGGGACGGUCAUUUAGAACUGGCAGACUAGAGUCUUGGAGAGGGGAGUGGAAUUCCAGGUGUAGCGGUGAAAUGCGUAGAUAUCUGGAGGAACAUCAGUGGCGAAGGCGACUCCC
RNAcentral lists this ribosomal RNA (650 nucleotides) under uncultured marine bacterium. RNAcentral describes it as "bacterial SSU rRNA". It matches the Rfam family "Bacterial small subunit ribosomal RNA", at positions 74 to 729 of the family's 1533-position model. The record is from RNAcentral.